RNAcentral lists this ribosomal RNA (492 nucleotides) under uncultured bacterium. RNAcentral describes it as "partial 16S ribosomal RNA". It matches the Rfam family "Bacterial small subunit ribosomal RNA", at positions 28 to 523 of the family's 1533-position model. The record is from RNAcentral.
GAUGAACGCUAGCGGCAGGCUUAACACACGCAAGUCGAGGGGUAUAGUAGCAAUACUAGAGACCGGCGCACGGGUGCGUAACGCGUAUGCAAUCUACCUUUCACAGAGGGAUAGCCCAGAGAAAUUUGGAUUAAUACCUCAUAGUAUAGUAUCUUGGCAUCAAGGAACUAUUAAAGUCACAACGGUGAAAGAUGAGCAUGCGUCCCAUUAGUUAGUUGGUAAGGUAACGGCUUACCAGGACUACGAUGGGUAGGGGUCCUGAGAGGGAGAUCCCCCACACUGGUACUGAGACACGGACCAGACUCCUACGGGAGGCAGCAGUGAGGAAUAUUGGACAAUGGGCGCAAGCCUGAUCCAGCCAUGCCGCGUGCAGGAUGACGGUCCUAUGGAUUGUAAACUGCUUUUGUACAGGAAGAAACACCCCGACGUGUCGGGACUUGACGGUACUGUAAGAAUAAGGAUCGGCUAACUCCGUGCCAGCAGCAGCCGCAG